GGAAAGAUGAAAAGAACUUUGAAAAGAGAGUUGAACAGUACGUGAAAUUGUUGAAAGGGAAACGAUUGAAGUCAGUCAUACCAACGGGAAAUCAACCUUUUGAGUUUGUUCUUGUGGGUUUCGAGGAGUUUAAAAGCCUUCUGAUUUGUGAGGAUUGGGCUCUUUUGGUGUACUUUCUCGUACGGUUAGUCAACAUCGGUUUUGAAUGUCAUAAAAUGACUGGAGGAAUGUGGCUUCGAUCUCGUAUCGAAGUGUUAUAACCUUCGGUAGAUGUGAUGUUCGAGACCGAGGAUUGCAACGGAUACCUUCCAGGCUAUUCGUCUGAUCUCUGAUACGUUGCCUUGAUGUCGAAAGCGUGCUUAUGAUGUUAGGGUAUUACGGUCAAAAGGUUAGAACGGAUUAAAUUCGUUAAGGAUGUUGACGUAAUGACUUUAAACGACCCGUCUUGAAACACGGACCA
This 460-nucleotide ribosomal RNA is filed under the name Funneliformis geosporum. RNAcentral's name for it is "LSU rRNA". It matches the Rfam family "Eukaryotic large subunit ribosomal RNA", at positions 358 to 668 of the family's 3401-position model. Lineage: Eukaryota; Fungi; Glomeromycota; Glomeromycetes; Glomerales; Glomeraceae. The record is from RNAcentral.